GCGGAUAUGUAAGUCAGAUGUGAAAACUACGAGCUCAACUCGUAGCCUGCAUUUGAUACUGUGUAUCUAGAAUUUGGGAGAGGCAAGGGGAAUUCUGGUGUAGCGGUGAAAUGCGUAGAUAUCAGGAGGAACACCGGUGGCGUAAGCGCCUUGCUGGCCUAAAAUUGACGCUGAGAUACGAAAGUGUGGGGAGUGAACGGGAUUAGAUACCCCGGUAAUCCACACCAUAAACGUUGUCUACCAGUCGUUAGAGGUAUCAACCCUUCUAGUGACGAACCUAACGGAUUAAGUAGACCGCCUGGGGACUAUGCUCGCAAGAGUAAAACUCAAAGGAAUUGACGGGGUCCGCACAAGCGGUGGAGCAUGUGGUUUAAUUCGAUGAUACGCGAAAAACCUUACCAGGGUUUGACAUGGAUUGGAAUACUGUAGAGAUAUAGUAGCCUUCGGG
This 448-nucleotide ribosomal RNA is filed under the name uncultured bacterium. Its description in RNAcentral is "bacterial SSU rRNA". It matches the Rfam family "Bacterial small subunit ribosomal RNA", at positions 575 to 1024 of the family's 1533-position model. The record is from RNAcentral.